UGAAUAGACUCCCCUCCUGAGACUGAGUGAAGCAUAUUUCAAGCAUCACAUUCGAGUCUCCACUCAUGCAUUCCAUUUUGUACCACUGCAAAGAGCAUGAGCCAUUUCAGAGGUGCUUUCAAAAAAGCGUGUGUGUUAUUUUGACAGCGGCCUUACGGAGAUGAAGGUAUUUAUACCUGCCCCAUUACAGUGAAAAGCAUGAGAAUUAAUGCUUUCAGUCAAUUUCAUUUUCUUGGAAAGUUAAUGGUGUUGCUUCAUUUGGAAACAAACAGUGCAAUGGGGCGUGUGUGAUGCGAUUGCCCAGACGCUGGACUCUUAGAAUACAAGCGCUGAGCUCCUCUAGUGACAAUAAAAUAGACACAUUUGAGAACUGUGACUCUUGUACUUAUUUUGCAAUUCGAUUCAAUAAUUUUUAAUUUCAUUAAUUCAGUUGCUUUCCAUUCCACUUAAUUUACACAACCAAUAUUUUGAAUCAGAAAGCUUACUAAGAAAACAUUUAGUAAAACUAUAAUUUUAAAAGAUCAUUAAAAAACAAUUAAUUAUAAUUGUAAAAACUGAGAAUGUUUCAUGUUGAGUAUAGCAUAGUGUGAAAAAGAAAAUAUUCCAGCUCAGUUUGUUUCUGUAAGGGCCCCCUCCACACAACACACCACACACACACACACACACACACACACACACACACACCCAGCUCUGUUCCAGUACAGUACUCAUCAUGAAGCUCAUACCUUCCUUCCUUCCUUCUUCAGCCUGCUUGCAGAAGAAGUCCAAAGAGACUUUGCUACUGGUUGUGAGUUCUGCUUUUCCAGACCAAAGCAACUCAUCUCACAAAUCAACUACCAUCCUACUUUGUAUUAAUUAAGUGUAAGAAAAAUUGAAACCAAAAUAGUUAUUAGAACAGAAGCAUUUAUUGGACACAGGUAUCUGCAAUCCCUCCCCUACCCUACCACCAGAAUGACAUUUCAACAGCCCCAAUCUCAUCCUGUUACUUCUCUUCUUAAAGUUCUUCAGGCCUGAAAGAGGAGGCACAGUCCAGUAAUUGGAGCUUGGGACCUGGAACCACACUGCUGAAGUUCAGGACCUGCCUCUGACUCUUGAGAGCUGGGUGACCUUGAGCAAGCUAGCGAACUUCGUCUGCAGAAUGACGGUAAACAAUAACAGUGUCUGCUUCAAAUGACUAAAGGAUCCCUUGGCAUAUGGCAAAGCCAUAUGAUCUGCUCUCUUAUGAGAAUGGCAGGACCGGGUCCUGGGCUGGUUAUUUAAGUAUGUCUUUCAUCACUAGGCUUCUCCAAAUAGAAAAUAGUACUUUUCUAUUUGAAGAAUGAGAUUUGGCAGGGUCUCCUCAAUAACAGAAGCCAAGUUUUUCCCUACUUUAUCUUUCUGAGCUCAGUGGAGUCCGUAUUCUUUGUCAUGUGCUGAAAUUUCUCAGCAAUCUACCUGAGACAUAUUUUUACAAACUUAACACACUACUCUGUCUAUCAGAUUAGUCCCCUAACUCUAUUUCUCACUUCCACUGUAUAAUCAUGAGGGAUUUGAUUUAGGUCAUACCUGAAUGGUCUAGUGGUUUCCCCUACUUUCUUCAAUUUAAGUCUGAAUUUGGCAAUAAGGAGUUCGUGGUCUGAGCCACAGUCAGCUCCUAGUCUUGUUUUUGCUGACUGUAUAGAGCUUCUCCAUCUUUGGCUGCAAAGAAUAUAAUCAGUCUCAUUUCGGUGUUGACCAUCUGGUGAUGUCCAUGUGUAGAGUCUUCUCUUGUGUUGUUGGAAGAGGGUGUUUGCUAUGACCAGUGCGUUCUCUUGGCAAAACUCUAUUAGACUUUGCCCUGCUUCAUUCCAUAUUCCAAGGCCAAAUUUGCCUGUUACUCC
RNAcentral lists this long non-coding RNA (1859 nucleotides) under Bos indicus x Bos taurus (hybrid cattle). RNAcentral describes it as "lncRNA (ENSBIXG00000015473.1)". The record is from RNAcentral. Lineage: Eukaryota; Metazoa; Chordata; Mammalia; Artiodactyla; Bovidae.